This 29-nucleotide non-coding RNA is filed under the name Mus musculus (house mouse). The record is from RNAcentral. Lineage: Eukaryota; Metazoa; Chordata; Mammalia; Rodentia; Muridae.
UGAUUAUGAAUUCUCAUGAGCAUAGAUGG